Long non-coding RNA from Episyrphus balteatus (marmalade hoverfly), 715 nucleotides. RefSeq lists it as uncharacterized. The record is from RefSeq and is a predicted model, not a curated record. NCBI's taxonomy places the organism in Eukaryota, Metazoa, Arthropoda, Insecta, Diptera, Syrphidae. The transcript is spliced from 2 exons.
UGAAAUGCAAGUGCCUUAAGUCGUUACUUAUGUCAAUCUUAUGUUGAAGCGUUUAAGUGUAUGUUUAAGUGUUAUAAUCAUAGAUGUUCACAAUUAUACCAAUAUAACUGUUAUUAAACAUUGAACUUUUUUAAAUUUAAAUAUUUUGUUAAUUUACGAUCACUUCUUCAAGAGCAACUUAAUGCCAAACCUAAACAGAUAACCUAUGAAAUCAGUUUGAUGUAUUCAUGAAUUUACAUAUACCAAUCGGGUAGGGGGAAAGACUUCACCCGAGGAAGGCAUGCUAAAAUCCACCCUCCGAAUAUCAAGAAUGGCGUCCAAAAAAUAUUAAUUGAGUAAAAGAUUCUGGUGAGAGCCAAUUAUUCCAACACUUAAUAAAAACAAAACACCAUUUACAUCGAGUGACUCCGGGCAAAAAGGUCUUUUAUACCAAACGAAAGGAAAAGAAAGAAAUCGAUCUUCUUCCCCAAGAAAAUGAAACGUUAAAAAAAACGCAAACCCAUUUGCAAGUGAAUAUUUGCGAACAUGAAAUAAAAACACGAAAAUGAAUAAGAAGAGCUAGAAAGAGAAACGGAAAGAUCCUCAAAAAAGACGAAGCAAUAAAUGUAAAGCUUACUUUUCAUUUUCUUCAAAAAACGAUGCAAGUAUGAACCAAAAAUACAAAUAAGAAAAAAAAAAACAGUUAACCGAUUAAUGUUGUCAUGGUUGCAGAGAG